CAAUCAUAGCUGCAAUGAAUGCAAUUUACAACAAGGAUACAGAAGUACCUAGACUAAUUUCAGAGGAUCAGUACCUUGCCUAUAAGAGAAGAUAUGAUGGACAUUAACAAAGGAAAAUUAAAAAACUGAUUAAUUUGCCAGUAUGUCACUAGAAGAUGGGAUAUCAUUCUCUCUCAGUGUGGAGUGCAGCCCUAAUCACUAACUGGAUAAUUGAGUUUAGAGGAAAGAGAUACCAUGUUGUGACAGUAGUGAUACAGCAGUUAUUAAUUAAGUAUGUGUAUAUAGACAUUAAUAGAUACAAUGUGUAUUUAUUAUGUAAUGAUAUUAUUACAAUAAAUUA
Molecule: long non-coding RNA, 340 nt
Organism: Amphimedon queenslandica
Lineage: Eukaryota; Metazoa; Porifera; Demospongiae; Haplosclerida; Niphatidae
Exons: 3
Source: RefSeq, a predicted model, not a curated record